Molecule: long non-coding RNA, 2361 nt
Organism: Artibeus jamaicensis (Jamaican fruit-eating bat)
Lineage: Eukaryota; Metazoa; Chordata; Mammalia; Chiroptera; Phyllostomidae
Exons: 2
Source: RefSeq, a predicted model, not a curated record
AGCCAUUAGUAGUAGAAACAUACAAACAGCCGUUAGGCAUCUGCAGUUCCUGAGACUGGGUAAUAAAUAAAUGUCAGGGAACGGCUGGGUUAAAAUUCCUAGCCAAAUAAGGUAACUGACCAAGGCCCGCCAGAUAAGACCCCAGCUCCCAACCACCAAUUAGAGACUUUCGCCGUUUUUUUAACUUAGCAACCUGGCUAAUAGCUAACUGCCACAUCUGCUUCUGUAACCCCGCAUUCGCUUGCUCUGCCCUAUAAGAACCCCGUAGUCUGUGAGCCAGGCGCGACUCUCAUCUGCAGCCCUUUUUGGGCACCGUGUCUCUGGACACCCCGAGGGUUCGCCCCUGCGCAGGUAAAGCUUGGCCACCAAAUUUAUAAUUAGACUAUUAUUUUGUAAUCAAUAAAAUUAGAGAUCUUUGAAACCUAUCUUCAUCUCCGAGAGCGUGCAUUGACUCAUCUGUUGCCUACAACAUUUGGAGGCCCCAGCGAGAUUCGCACGUGCCCUCGGAGAACCCAUCUGUAUGCCGGCCCGAAUAUGACCUGACCAGAAUGACAGCGGUCCAGUAAUGCCAGCCUUUGGACACCAAGCCUGCGAUGUCCGGGUGACAGCCAACUGACCAGGACCCUGUGAGGUCUUUCCCCUUACAGGAAAGACUCCCUCCGUGCUGCUCCCCUUCAGGGUACCCCCCAACCCAAGGGUAAAUAAGACAGCGUCCAUUUCCAGCUUGGAAGAAGUUACAAGCAGAUGAGACCUCCGUCCCUUUUCCUUUAUAUAAUUAUGAAGUAGGUAUAAAUCUAAAAAGAAGAAUAUUAAUACAGAGUGCAUCCACAGGGAGCCCCAGAAAAGAUUUGAGAUGAGAUCCAAGGUUCAAGGUAUCCAAGAGAUAUUAAGGUAUACUUACCACUCCCCGGGAGACAGGGACGAAUAGAGCGGGGCCAGUGAGAGAUGUUGUACAUAGCAACAGGUUUGCAGCUGACCUCUAAGGUAAUUAUUUGACAUAUAGCUUUUGGCUAGUUUCAUAGAUAUAUUGAAUAGUAUGGCCAGACUUAGAACUAAGGAAAUAAAGUCGCUUACCCAGGAUAUGGCUAGGAGCAGAGCCCCUGAGGGGGGAGGCCUGUGUCAGAGCUUAGAAAAGAUCAACUCCAGGCCAUGAGGGGAUAAACUACCCAGGUGAAAGAGGGCACCGCAUAGUUUAAGGCAGAGUGCCAACCCCUGCAGCUUUGGUGAAAGAGGCCCAUGUGGCUUUGGGGUUCCCCCUUUGGCUGUGUAGCCUAGAAGGCAAGAGAGACUUUGACUAGAACUUAGUACAAAAAAGGACCUCUUGCCAGUGGACUGUGAGGGAGUGCCACAUAACUUUAGAUUGGCUAAAGAUCCUGCCUGAUACAGCUGAUGUGCCAGCAACCUGAAACACAGAUGUGUAUUCUUUCUUAAUUUGCAGUACCCGGAGUUAGGACAGUAUAAGUAAAGAGCAAAGACAUAAAAGUAUUUUAAGUUGAAAAAAACUUAGUUUCUGACUGCUCUUUUACAAUAAUAGCACUAGAAUUAUAGGUGAUAACAAGGAGGAUUAUGUGCAGCCUUAGGGGAAGAGUGCUGUUUUUAUGCCAACCAUUCGGGGGUAAUCAGAGAAAGCAUAAAGAUGCUAACCAAGAGACUAAAAGAAAGAGAACAAGAGGAACAGACCUCUUCAUGGUAUGCCUCUCUGUUUAAAGCUUCCCCUUGGCUGACCACGCUUAUUUCCGCAUUAGCUGGCCCUAUACUUAUCCUAUUGCUUGCCCUGACUGCAGGACCCUGGAUCUUGAAUAAGAUUUUUGCAUUCAUCAGGGACAGGAUUGAUGCCAUCAAGCUUAUGGUAUUGUCCCAACCAUAUACUAUCCUGCCUCAGGAUGACCGGCAGUCAAUGGUUUAACUGCUACCUAACCGGAGGGGGGAAUGUAAUAGCCAUUAGUAGUAGAAACAUACAAACAGCCGUUAGGCAUCUGCAGUUCCUGAGACUGGGUAAUAAAUAAAUGUCAGGGAACGGCUGGGUUAAAAUUCCUAGCCAAAUAAGGUAACUGACCAAGGCCCGCCAGAUAAGACCCCAGCUCCCAACCACCAAUUAGAGACUUUCGCCGUUUUUUUAACUUAGCAACCUGGCUAAUAGCUAACUGCCACAUCUGCUUCUGUAACCCCGCUUUCGCUUGCUCUGCCCUAUAAGAACCCCGUAGUCUGUGAGCCAGGCGCGACUCUCAUCUGCAGCCCUUUUUGGGCACCGUGUCUCUGGACACCCCGAGGGUUCGCCCCUGCGCAGGUAAAGCUUGGCCACCAAAUUUAUAAUUAGACUAUUAUUUUGUAAUCAAUAAAAUUAGAGAUCUUUGAAACCUA